AAGUACCUCAGAGGUGAUGACAA
Molecule: small nuclear RNA, 23 nt
Filed under: Arabidopsis thaliana (thale cress)
Lineage: Eukaryota; Viridiplantae; Streptophyta; Magnoliopsida; Brassicales; Brassicaceae
Description: snRNA_03032
Source: RNAcentral